AUUGAACGCUGGCGGCAUGCUUUACACAUGCAAGUCGAACGGCAGCGCGGGCUUCGGCCUGGCGGCGAGUGGCGAACGGGUGAGUAAUGCAUCGGAACGUGCCCAGUAGUGGGGGAUAGCCCGGCGAAAGCCGGAUUAAUACCGCAUACGACCUGAGGGUGAAAGCGGGGGACCGAAAGGCCUCGCGCUAUUGGAGCGGCCGAUGUCGGAUUAGCUAGUUGGUGGGGUAAAGGCUUACCAAGGCGACGAUCCGUAGCUGGUCUGAGAGGACGACCAGCCACACUGGGAGUGAGACACGGCCCAGACUCCUACGGGAGGCAGCAGUGGGGAAUGUUGGACAAUGGGGGCAACCCUGAUCCAGCCAUGCCGCGUGCGGGAAGAAGGCCUUCGGGUUGUAAACCGCUUUUGUUCGGGAAGAAAUCCUCUGGGCUAAUACCCCGGGGGGAUGACGGUACCGGAAGAAUAAGCACCGGCUAACUACGUG
This 484-nucleotide ribosomal RNA is filed under the name uncultured bacterium. RNAcentral's name for it is "partial 16S ribosomal RNA". It matches the Rfam family "Bacterial small subunit ribosomal RNA", at positions 28 to 507 of the family's 1533-position model. The record is from RNAcentral.